RNAcentral lists this ribosomal RNA (497 nucleotides) under uncultured bacterium. Its description in RNAcentral is "partial 16S ribosomal RNA". It matches the Rfam family "Bacterial small subunit ribosomal RNA", at positions 28 to 507 of the family's 1533-position model. The record is from RNAcentral.
GAUGAACGCUGGCGGCGUGCCUAAUACAUGCCAGUCGAGCGAACAGACGAGGAGCUUGCUCCUCUGACGUUAGCGGCGGACGGGUGAGUAACACGUGGAUAACCUACCUAUAAGACUGGGAUAACUUCGGGAAACCGGAGCUAAUACCGGAUAAUAUAUUGAACCGCAUGGUUCAAUAGUGAAAGACGGUUUUGCUGUCACUUAUAGAUGGAUCCGCGCCGCAUUAGCUAGUUGGUAAGGUAACGGCUUACCAAGGCAACGAUGCGUAGACGACCUGAGAGGGUGAUCGGCCACACUGGAACUGAGACACGGUCCAGACUCCUACGGGAGGCAGCAGUAGGGAAUCUUCCGCAAUGGGCGAAAGCCUGACGGAGCAACGCCGCGUGAAUGAUGAAGGUCUUCGGAUCGUAAAACUCUGUUAUUAGGGAAGAACAAAUGUGUAAGUAGCUAUGCACGUCUUGACGGUACCUAAUCAGAAAGCCACGGCUAACUACGUG